RNAcentral lists this ribosomal RNA (492 nucleotides) under uncultured bacterium. RNAcentral's name for it is "partial 16S ribosomal RNA". It matches the Rfam family "Bacterial small subunit ribosomal RNA", at positions 29 to 507 of the family's 1533-position model. The record is from RNAcentral.
AGUGAACGCUGGCGGUAGGCCUAACACAUGCAAGUCGAACGGCAGCACAGUAAGAGCUUGCUCUUACGGGUGGCGAGUGGCGGACGGGUGAGGAAUAAAUCGGAAUCUACUUUUUCGUGGGGGUGAACGUAGGGAAACUUACGCUAAUACCGCAUACGACCUACGGGGGAAAGCAGGGGAUCUUCGGACCGUGCGCGAUUGAAGGAGCCGAUGUCGGAUUAGCUAGUUGGCGGGGUAAAGGCCCACCAAGGCGACGAUCCGUAGCUGGUCUGAGAGGAUGAUCAGCCACACUGGAACUGAGACACGGUCAAGACUCCUACGGGAGGCAGCAGUGGGGAAUAUUGGACAAUGGGCGCAAGCCUGAUCCAGCCAUACCGCGUGGGUGAAGAAGGCCUUCGGGUUGUAAAGCCCUUUUGUUGGGAAAGAAAAGCAGCAGGUUAAUACCCCGCUGUUCUGACGGUACCCAAAGAAUAAGCACCGGCUAACUUCGUG